CGCUGGCGGCGUGCCUACACAUGCAAGUCCCUACGAGAAAAUUCGCUUCGGCGGAUGAGUAAAGUGGCGCACGGGUGAGUAACGCGUGGAUAAUCUUCCCUUUAGUCCGGGAUAACUCACCGAAAGGUGAACUAAUACUGAAUAAUACUGUUUCUGCUAAGGCGGAGCAGUUAAAGAGGACCUCUGUAUACAAGUUCUUGCUAAAGGAUGAGUCCGCGUACCAUUAGCUAGUUGGUAGGGUAAUAGCCUACCAAGGCGACGAUGGUUAGCUGGUCCGAGAGGAUGAUCGGCCACACUGGAAUUGAGAUACGGUCCAGACUCCUACGGGAGGCAGCAGUGAGGGAUUUUGCGCAAUGGGGGAAACCCUGACGCAGCAACGCCGCGUGAGUGAGGAAGGCCUUCGGGUCGUAAAGCUCUGUCAGAUGGGAAGAAAUGCGGGAAUGUCAAUAGCUUUCCCGCUUGACGGUACCAUCAGAGGAAGCACCGGCUAACUCCGUGCCAGCAGCCGCGGUAAUACGGGGGGUGCAAGCGUUGUUCGGAAUUAUUGGGCGUAAAGAGCGUGUAGGCGGCCGGAUAAGUCAGAUGUGAAAGCCCUGAGCUCAACUCAGGAAGUGCAUUUGAAACUGUCUGGCUAGAGUAAGGGAGAGGAAAGUGGAAUUCCUGGUGUAGAGGUGAAAUUCGUAGAUAUCAGGAGGAACACCGGUGGCGAANGCGACUUUCUGGCCCUAUACUGAC
RNAcentral lists this ribosomal RNA (735 nucleotides) under uncultured delta proteobacterium. RNAcentral's name for it is "bacterial SSU rRNA". It matches the Rfam family "Bacterial small subunit ribosomal RNA", at positions 34 to 744 of the family's 1533-position model. The record is from RNAcentral. Lineage: Bacteria; Deltaproteobacteria.